AGUCUUAUAUUCAUUAAUGAUAUAAAAUUGCAAAUUUUAAGGUGUAAUAAUUACUAAGGCUU
Molecule: transfer RNA, 62 nt
Filed under: Prioneris thestylis
Lineage: Eukaryota; Metazoa; Arthropoda; Insecta; Lepidoptera; Pieridae
Description: tRNA-Cys
Source: RNAcentral